This 468-nucleotide ribosomal RNA is filed under the name uncultured bacterium. RNAcentral's name for it is "partial 16S ribosomal RNA". It matches the Rfam family "Bacterial small subunit ribosomal RNA", at positions 28 to 507 of the family's 1533-position model. The record is from RNAcentral.
GAUGAACGCUGGCGGCGUGCUUAACACAUGCCAGUCGAACGGAAAGGCCAGUGCUUGCACUGGUACUCGAGUGGCGAACGGGUGAGUAACACGUGGGUGAUCUGCCCUGUACUUCGGGAUAAGCUUGGGAAACUGGGUCUAAUACCGGAUAGGACAACUUUUUGGAUAUUGUUGUGGGAAGCUUUUGCGGUAUGGGAUGAGUUCGCGGCCUAUCAGCUUGUUAGUGGGGUAAUGGCCUACCAAGGCGUCGACGGGUAGCCGGCCUGAGAGAGCGUACGGCCACUCUAGAACUCAGAGACAGCCCAGACUACUACGGGAGGCAGCAGUGGGGAAUAUUGGACGAAGGGCGCAAGCCUGAGGCAGGGAGGCCGCGUGGGGGAUGAAGGCCUUCGUGUUGUAAGCACCUAUCGCUAGGGAAGUAGCUUUUUUGUGACGGUACCUGGAGAAGAAGCACCGGCUAACUACGUG